AUUGAACGCUGGCGGCAUGCUUUACACAUGCAAGUCGAACGGCAGCGCGGGCUUCGGCCUGGCGGCGAGUGGCGAACGGGUGAGUAAUACAUCGGAACGUGCCCAGUAGUGGGGGAUAGCUCGGCGAAAGCCGGAUUAAUACCGCAUACGACCUGAGGGUGAAAGCGGGGGAUCUUCGGACCUCGCGCUAUUGGAGCGGCCGAUGGCAGAUUAGCUAGUUGGUGGGGUAAAGGCCUACCAAGGCGACGAUCUGUAGCUGGUCUGAGGGGACGACCAGCCACACUGGGUCUGAGACACGGCCCAGACUCCUACGGGAGGCAGCAGUGGGGAAUUUUGGACAAUGGGCGAAAGCCUGAUCCAGCAAUGCCGCGUGUGUGAUGAAGGCCUUCGGGUUGUAAAGCACUUUUGGCGGGAACGAAAAGGACUGUGCCAAUACCACGGUUCGAUGACGGUACCCGCAGAAUAAGCACCGGCUAACUACGUG
RNAcentral lists this ribosomal RNA (484 nucleotides) under uncultured bacterium. RNAcentral's name for it is "partial 16S ribosomal RNA". It matches the Rfam family "Bacterial small subunit ribosomal RNA", at positions 29 to 507 of the family's 1533-position model. The record is from RNAcentral.